UCCCAACCCCAGGAGUUGUAGAAC
RNAcentral lists this non-coding RNA (24 nucleotides) under Cricetulus griseus (Chinese hamster). Lineage: Eukaryota; Metazoa; Chordata; Mammalia; Rodentia; Cricetidae. The record is from RNAcentral.